This 388-nucleotide ribosomal RNA is filed under the name uncultured bacterium. RNAcentral's name for it is "bacterial SSU rRNA". It matches the Rfam family "Bacterial small subunit ribosomal RNA", at positions 28 to 417 of the family's 1533-position model. The record is from RNAcentral.
GACGAACGCUGGCGGCGUGCUUAACACAUGCAAGUCGAGCGGUAAGGCCCCUUCGGGGGUACACGAGCGGCGAACGGGUGAGUAACACGUGGGUGACCUGCCCUCAGCUCUGGGAUAAGCCUGGGAAACCGGGUCUAAUACCGGAUAUGACUCCAUGACGCAUGUUGUGGGGUGGAAAGCCUUGUGCGGCUGAGGAUGGGCCCGCGGCCUAUCAGCUUGUUGGUGGGGUGAUGGCCUACCAAGGCGACGACGGGUAGCCGGCCUGAGAGGGCGACCGGCCACACUGGGACUGAGACACGGCCCAGACUCCUACGGGAGGCAGCAGUGGGGAAUCUUGCGCAAUAGGCGAAAGCCUGACGCAGCGACGCCGCGUGAGGGAUGACGGCCU